UGCAGUGCACAGCCCGAGGGCAGGAUGAAGCCUGCAAGGCCUGGGCACAGUCUAGGAUGCUGAUUGCCUGAUGAGACAACACUUUACUAACAUGCCGGGUCUGGGUUGCGCUGGUGGACAGUACAGGUGACCGAGAUGUCAGUAAUCCCUUGAUGCCUGCCCGGCAACUCCUAUCAAACAAGCAACCGUGACAGUAUGGACCUCC
Molecule: long non-coding RNA, 205 nt
Filed under: Chinchilla lanigera (long-tailed chinchilla)
Lineage: Eukaryota; Metazoa; Chordata; Mammalia; Rodentia; Chinchillidae
Description: lncRNA (ENSCLAG00000022997.1)
Source: RNAcentral